GUUUCCUACGGGGCGCAGCAGUGAGGAAUAUUGGUCAAUGGGCGGGAGCCUGAACCAGCCAAGUCGCGUGAGGGACGACGGUCCUAUGGAUUGUAAACCUCUUUUGUCGGGGAACAAAGGCGUCCACGGGUGGGCGGAUGAGUGUACCCGAAGAAAAAGCAUCGGCUAACUCCGUGCCAGCAGCCGCGGUAAUACGGAGGAUGCGAGCGUUAUCCGGAUUUAUUGGGUUUAAAGGGUGCGCAGGCGGAGGCACAAGUCAGCGGUAAAAUCGCGGGGCUCAACCCCGCUCCGCCGUGGAAACUGUG
This 305-nucleotide ribosomal RNA is filed under the name uncultured bacterium. RNAcentral's name for it is "bacterial SSU rRNA". It matches the Rfam family "Bacterial small subunit ribosomal RNA", at positions 334 to 637 of the family's 1533-position model. The record is from RNAcentral.